AUUGAACGCUGGCGGCAUGCCUUACACAUGCAAGUCGAACGGCAGCGGACCUUCGGGUGCCGGCGAGUGGCGAACGGGUGAGUAAUAUAUCGGAACGUACCUUUCAGUGGGGGAUAACGUAGCGAAAGUUACGCUAAUACCGCAUAUUCUGUGAGCAGGAAAGCAGGGGAUCGCAAGACCUUGCGCUGAUUGAGCGGCCGAUAUCAGAUUAGCUAGUUGGUGAGGUAAAGGCUCACCAAGGCGACGAUCUGCAGCGGGUCUGAGAGGAUGAUCCGCCACACUGGAACUGAGACACGGUCCAGACUCCUACGGGAGGCAGCAGUGGGGAAUUUUGGACAAUGGGCGCAAGCCUGAUCCAGCCAUGCCGCGUGAGUGAAGAAGGCC
Molecule: ribosomal RNA, 384 nt
Filed under: uncultured bacterium
Lineage: Bacteria
Description: bacterial SSU rRNA
Rfam family: Bacterial small subunit ribosomal RNA
Source: RNAcentral